CCUACGGGAGGCAGCAGUGGGGAAUAUUGCACAAUGGGGGAAACCCUGAUGCAGCGACGCCGCGUGAGUGAAGAAGGCCUUCUUGAUGUAAAGCUCCAUCAGUAGGGAAGAACAUGACGGUACCUGUGUAUGCAUGCCUGGCCACCUACGAUCCAGACGGCGAGGUAAUACGUAGGGGGCAAGCGUUAUCCGGAUUGACUGGGUGUAAAGGGAGCGUAGACGGCAGUGCAAGCCUGGAGUGAAAGGCUGGGGCUCAACCGCGGGACUGCAGUGGACACCGUAGGGCUGGAGUGCGGGAGAGGUAAGUGGAAUUCGUGGUGUAGCGGUGAAAUGCGUAGAGAUUAGGAGGAACACCGGUGGCGAAGGCGGCUUACUGGAGUGUAACUGACGUUGAGGCUCGAAGGCGUGGGGAGCAAACAGGAUUAGAUACCCUGGUAGUC
Molecule: ribosomal RNA, 440 nt
Filed under: uncultured bacterium
Lineage: Bacteria
Description: partial 16S ribosomal RNA
Rfam family: Bacterial small subunit ribosomal RNA
Source: RNAcentral